GGUCGUGUAGCGUAGUGGUUAUCGCGUUUCGUUUACAGUUAUCACCUUCAUCCGAAAAGGUCGCAGGUUCGAACCCUGCCACGAUCA
Molecule: transfer RNA, 87 nt
Rfam family: tRNA
About the family: Transfer RNA (tRNA) molecules are approximately 80 nucleotides in length. Their secondary structure includes four short double-helical elements and three loops (D, anti-codon, and T loops). Further hydrogen bonds mediate the characteristic L-shaped molecular structure. tRNAs have two regions of fundamental functional importance: the anti-codon, which is responsible for specific mRNA codon recognition, and the 3' end, to which the tRNAs corresponding amino acid is attached (by aminoacyl-tRNA synthetases). tRNAs cope with the degeneracy of the genetic code in two manners: having more than one tRNA (with a specific anti-codon) for a particular amino acid; and 'wobble' base-pairing, i.e. permitting non-standard base-pairing at the 3rd anti-codon position.
Source: Rfam